AUUGAACGCUGGCGGAAUGCUUUACACAUGCAAGUCGAACGGCAGCACGGGGGCAACCCUGGUGGCGAGUGGCGAACGGGUGAGUAAUACAUCGGAACGUGCCCGGUCGUGGGGGAUAACGUAGCGAAAGUUACGCUAAUACCGCAUACGAUCUGAGGAUGAAAGCGGGGGACCUUCGGGCCUCGCGCGAUCGGAGCGGCCGAUGUCAGAUUAGGUAGUUGGUGGGGUAAAGGCCUACCAAGCCGACGAUCUGUAGCUGGUCUGAGAGGACGACCAGCCACACUGGGACUGAGACACGGCCCAGACUCCUACGGGAGGCAGCAGUGGGGAAUUUUGGACAAUGGGCGCAAGCCUGAUCCAGCCAUUCCGCGUGCAGGACGAAGGCCUUCGGGUCGUAAACUGCUUUUGUAUGGAACGAAAAGGCUCUGGCUAAUACCUGGGGCUCAUGACGGUACCGUAAGAAUAAGCACCGGCUAACUACGUG
RNAcentral lists this ribosomal RNA (484 nucleotides) under uncultured bacterium. RNAcentral's name for it is "partial 16S ribosomal RNA". It matches the Rfam family "Bacterial small subunit ribosomal RNA", at positions 30 to 507 of the family's 1533-position model. The record is from RNAcentral.